UGGAUAUUAGUUAAUUAAAUAACAAUAAAAUUGCACUUUAAUAUAAUUAAAUAAAUUUAAUAUAUCUAU
RNAcentral lists this transfer RNA (69 nucleotides) under Hylaeus dilatatus. RNAcentral's name for it is "tRNA-Ala". Lineage: Eukaryota; Metazoa; Arthropoda; Insecta; Hymenoptera; Colletidae. The record is from RNAcentral.